ACAGCAGCAGCCACGGUAAUACGAAGGGGGCUAGCGUUGCUCGGAAUGACUGGGCGUAAAGGGCGCGUAGGCGGUUUGUACAGUUGGAUGUGAAAUUCCUGGGCUUAACCUGGGGGCUGCAUUCAAUACGUGCAGGCUUGAGUGUGGAAGAGGGUUGUGGAAUUCCCAGUGUAGAGGUGAAAUUCGUAGAUAUUGGGAAGAACACCGGUGGCGAAGGCGGCAACCUGGUCCAUUACUGACGCUGAGGCGCGAAAGCGUGGGGAGCAAACAGGAUUAGAUACCCCUGUAGUCCCUGUCUCUUAUAC
RNAcentral lists this ribosomal RNA (305 nucleotides) under uncultured bacterium. RNAcentral's name for it is "partial 16S ribosomal RNA". It matches the Rfam family "Bacterial small subunit ribosomal RNA", at positions 506 to 807 of the family's 1533-position model. The record is from RNAcentral.